Molecule: long non-coding RNA, 984 nt
Filed under: Numida meleagris (helmeted guineafowl)
Lineage: Eukaryota; Metazoa; Chordata; Aves; Galliformes; Numididae
Description: lncRNA (ENSNMEG00000002477.1)
Source: RNAcentral
AUGGCUUUUUGCUGUUACUGUUGUGCUUUUCAGACGUGGCUCCUUGUUAUUGUUUGCUUGUUUGCUUGUUUGUUUCUAUCAGUACUUAAGCAGGAGAUGGACUUCUUGUGCAGGCACACACCAGCAGGAUGGCCUGUCCUGGGGAUGACCUUCCCCCAUUUGCAGGUGGGCGUACCGGCAGUCAGGCUGAGCGUGAAAAAGGGCACACAGGACCAACGGAGGGGUCCUUUACAAGGUAAAGGAUUUUUUUUCAGUUCUCCAGAUUGUAACACCUCAGAGAGAUCUGUCACACACCCUGAGCACUGCAGUCCCGGUGCCGCUGUAGAAUGCCUCCGCGGCGCAGCGCUGUGUACCGUCACAACACCGUUUUCCAGGGCACCCUGCGCGCACGGCCGGGAUGUCACACCUGGCCUGGAGGUUCCCACCGGACGAAGGGCGGCGCUGCGGGCUCACACUGGGCCGGCUGCCGGCGGGCCGCGGGCUCCUCCCGGCGGCGGCCGCUCCGCAGGGUACGGGCCUCGCCCCGCCGUGCCCGGAGGGGAGCAGGCAGACCCGGACACCACUAUACCGGGCGUUCUGUUGGUGGUCAUGAAUUGCGCUUGUCGACGAGGGGGUAUUUGUUUCGAGAGCGCUCAGGAAGUAAGCAGUACGGAUGAAAUGGAAAUGCAUACCCAGUUGCUCUGUCCAGCAGCAGGAGGCCUCACACAAGAAGAGUCUGUUUUCUUCAUGAGAGCACAAUUUUUCUAAGGGUUCAAUUUCCUUUUGGCCAAGAAAGAGAACCUAGAUGAAGAUGUAAUGCAGCUGGACAAUUAGCCACUACAAAUAGUUUGCUGAGGCUCUGGGCAAUACGGAGACCUCUGUAAACAUCAGAAUUACAGACAAUGUGCAUUCAGUCUGUGUAGUUUGCUUAAUUCUCAACGCUGUGUUAAACGAUUUACCCAAGCUGCUUUUUAAUAAACAUACCUGACCCAAGUAUAUUCUCCA